GUGAAUCAUCAAAUUUUUGAACGCAAAUUGCACUUUCUGGUAUUCCGGAAAGUAUGUCUGUUUGAGGGUUAGUUAAAUAAAAAUCGGUGUUGUUGUUGCCUUUCGCGUGACGUGUCGGAAUUGGGUAGUCUUACCUUCGGAUAAGUGAUUUAAAAUUUUUGUAUGAUUCUUGAACGUAUUUAAAUCGCUUAUGUAUGUUUGGGUUAUCGAAUGU
Molecule: unclassified non-coding RNA, 214 nt
Filed under: Glomeromycotina sp.
Lineage: Eukaryota; Fungi; Glomeromycota
Description: partial contains 5.8S ribosomal RNA and internal transcribed spacer 2
Rfam family: 5.8S ribosomal RNA (bases 1-71)
Source: RNAcentral